AAUUGGAGGGCAAGUCUGGUGCCAGCAGCCGCGGUAAUUCCAGCUCCAAUAGCGUAUAUUAAAGUUGUUGCAGUUAAAAAGCUCGUAGUUGAAUUUCGGGGUCAGUAGAUUGGUCGUGCCACUGGUAUGUACUGGUCUUACUGGCUCCUCCUUCCUGAUGAACCGUAAUGCCAUUAAUUUGGUGUUGCGGGGAGACUGGACUGUUACUUUGAAAAAAUUAGAGUGUUUAAAGCAGGCUAACGCUUGAAUACAUUAGCAUGGAAUAAUGAAAUAGGACGUUCGAUCUUAUUUUGUUGGUUUCUAGGAUUGACGUAAUGAUUAAUAGGGAUAGUUGGGGGCAUUAGUAUUCAAUUGUCAGAGGUGAAAUUCUUGGAUUUAUUGAAGACUAACUACUGCGAAAGCAUUUGCCAAGGAUGUUCUCAUUAAUCAAGAACGAAAGUUAGGGGAUCGAAGACGAUCAGAUACCGUCGUAGUCUUAACCAUAAACUAUGCCGACUAGGGAUCGGAUGAUGUUAAUUUUUUAAUGACUCAUUCGGCGCCUUACGGGAAACCAAAGUGU
RNAcentral lists this ribosomal RNA (559 nucleotides) under uncultured Glomus. RNAcentral's name for it is "SSU rRNA". It matches the Rfam family "Eukaryotic small subunit ribosomal RNA", at positions 546 to 1106 of the family's 1831-position model. Lineage: Eukaryota; Fungi; Glomeromycota; Glomeromycetes; Glomerales; Glomeraceae. The record is from RNAcentral.